RNAcentral lists this long non-coding RNA (956 nucleotides) under Elaeis guineensis (African oil palm). Its description in RNAcentral is "long non-coding RNA (EGUI_LNC030233)". Lineage: Eukaryota; Viridiplantae; Streptophyta; Magnoliopsida; Arecales; Arecaceae. The record is from RNAcentral.
UCUUGCACAAAAAAAUAGCCGUUUAAAUUAAGAAUCACUUAUUUUCAAAUGCAACAUAAAACAACUGUUAACUUACCUAGGGCUAGUGCUACUACCAUCAAUAAUAAAACUAAAACUACUAGUAAAUUAAAGUACUGACCGAUGAUCCUCCUAUUAAUACUGCUAUAAUUGUUUUUAUCAGAAUCCAAAUACGAUCACUAGAUGAAAAAGUUUUGGUGCAGUCAGCCAGUUGCUGCAAUGUUCUUUUUCUGCAGUGUAUCUUUAUCACUACCAAUAGUCUUUUUCAGUGGAGGGCACCAUGCAAGGAUUGAGUGGUACUCUAUGUGGAACCAUAGUUCAAAUUUCAAAAUAUGAGAGGUUGGAGAUAGGGAAAUAUAAACAAGAUCCACUUCAGUACUUGAUGAGUGACAGCACCAUUCUUUGGCAUCAUCCUCUCUCACGAAUCCCAUCUUGCAACCAUUAGCGGCCCUUUUUUUCUCCUCUCCUCUCCUCUCCAAUGCCCAUCACAUCUCGAGUGCCCCACAAAUAAGAGCUGUUCUUGGCAGCUCCAUUUGCCAUUUGCAAUAUGUAGGGUAUCUAGCAUUCUCCUUUCCCAUUGCAUUGGCAAUUUCAGUUGUUGUCCAUCUCUCCCCCUUCUUCCCCACCCUAUCAUUCUACUCUCCACUUCUUUCAUAACUUUUCAUUGUCUCAAGUAGUAGGGCACCUAGAAGAAAGAAAGAUCACUUUCUCAGACUCAAACAAUACAAUGAAACAUUUGCUAGUUUUCAAUACUAGAGUACAUUCACUCAUGUAAUAGCAAAGAUUUGAGGGACCAUGGAAGUGUCCAGCUUAGAGAGGUGGUCCUAUCAAUUGCUUCAAACCUUUAGCUAGAUAUGAUACAAGUACAAAUGUGCCCAUGAAGGCUUGAUUACACCAUGACCUAUUAAUAGCUUGCAAAUUCUCAUCGCAUCCUUACU